GACGAACGCUGGCGGCGUGCCUAAUACAUGCAAGUAGAACGCUGAAGGAGGAGCUUGCUUCUCUGGAUGAGUUGCGAACGGGUGAGUAACGCGUAGGUAACCUGCCUGGUAGCAGGGGAUAACUAUUGGAAACGAUAGCUAAUACCGCAUAACAGUAGAUAUUGCAUGAUAUCUGCUUGAAAGGUGCAAUUGCAUCACUACCAGAUGGACCUGCGUUGUAUUAGCUAGUUGGUGAGGUAACGGCUCACCAAGGCGACGAUACAUAGCCGACCUGAGAGGGUGAUCGGCCACACUGGGACUGAGACACGGCCCAGACUCCUACGGGAGGCAGCAGUAGGGAAUCUUCGGCAAUGGACGAAAGUCUGACCGAGCAACGCCGCGUGAGUGAAGAAGGUUUUCGGAUCGUAAAGCUCUGUUGUAAGAGAAGAACGAGUGUGAGAGUGGAAAGUUCACACUGUGACG
RNAcentral lists this ribosomal RNA (462 nucleotides) under Streptococcus sp. oral taxon 431. RNAcentral's name for it is "bacterial SSU rRNA". It matches the Rfam family "Bacterial small subunit ribosomal RNA", at positions 28 to 474 of the family's 1533-position model. The record is from RNAcentral. Lineage: Bacteria; Bacillati; Bacillota; Bacilli; Lactobacillales; Streptococcaceae.